UGGGGAGUAUUGGACAAUGGGGGCAACCCUGAUCCAGCAAUGCCGCGUGGGUGAUGAAGGCCUUCGGGUUGUAAAGCCCUUUCGGCGGGGACGAUGAUGACGGUACCCGCAGAAGAAGCCCCGGCUAACUUCGUGCCAGCAGCCGCGGUAAUACGAAGGGGGCUAGCGUUGUUCGGAAUGACUGGGCGUAAAGGGCGCGUAGGCGGCGAUUUUAGUCAGGCGUGAAAGCCCUGGGCUCAACCUAGGAACU
Molecule: ribosomal RNA, 250 nt
Filed under: uncultured bacterium
Lineage: Bacteria
Description: partial 16S ribosomal RNA
Rfam family: Bacterial small subunit ribosomal RNA
Source: RNAcentral